Molecule: small nucleolar RNA, 107 nt
Organism: Dioscorea cayenensis subsp. rotundata (Guinea yam)
Lineage: Eukaryota; Viridiplantae; Streptophyta; Magnoliopsida; Dioscoreales; Dioscoreaceae
Source: RefSeq, a predicted model, not a curated record
AACCCAUGUUGAGGACAUUUCCACAGCAGCUCCUUGAACCUAUCCCAUGUCUCAAAAAGAGAUUCCAAUUCCGUUUGCACAAAAGAGGAUAUUUCAUUUUUAAGCUU